RNAcentral lists this long non-coding RNA (1255 nucleotides) under Homo sapiens (human). RNAcentral describes it as "HSALNT0303641". The record is from RNAcentral. Lineage: Eukaryota; Metazoa; Chordata; Mammalia; Primates; Hominidae.
AGUCGCGCGAAGCCAGAGAGGACCCUGGGCGUGAUUCUCCCUCCCUGGCACAGACGGAGACCCGAGUGACCCCGGGGUCCGGGUGGGCGUGGGGAAUGGACCCAUAGACCCGGGACGAGCGGCGCGGAGCCCGCAGCUGGCCAGCUUCAGCCACCUUGGGAGACGCAGUGCAGCUGCCGCUGCUGACAGACAAGACCAAGGCUCGGCUGGGCCCCACCCCAGAUCCGGCCUGAGCGCCUUCCGCGCUGCUCGGCCUCAAGGCGUGAGUCACCAAGGGCAAGUCCCGUGACUUGGUCCUCAGGGUCUCCGGCCUCGGCACAUUAAUCUUCAGACCCGGCUUUUUCGACGCCGAGCUGCCGCCCAGCCCCAAUGGCAGGGCCUUCCAGGGAGUCCCAGUCAGACUGCUCCCCAGCUCCCGCAGCUGCUCGGUCCCUGCAAAGCCCCCGGGAGCGUUUCUACUCUCCCCUGAGCCCACGCCAUCCCGUCACUCCUAGGAAACUUUUCGCGCAGAAACUCCUGGAGAACAGCCCCGGCCGCCAGGUACUCGCCCGCCCGGACCGCAAAGCCCACAGAGCUUCAAUUCGCAGGAAGGGGAGUGGGGAGCCCUGAGCUGGGGUGUUCCUGGAAGAGGUCGGGGAGCGGGGGGAGAGGCAUUCCAGGCUGGAGGCCUGGAAACGUUUGGAAGCUUUGCUAACCUUGGAGACCAUGUCAGGAAAGAAGCGUACCCAGGCCGUCUGCUGUGUGCCCACCCCGAUCCCCAUCAGUGCCCCACGCACUCGAGCUCUUCUUCGGCGUCUGCAGCCUCUUCAUCCGCGCGGAGAGGCGGAGGUCUCCCGGAAACAGUGUCCGACUGUGGCACCCCAGAGCGUCCAAUGCGAGCUCAGGCCUUUCCCGCAAGUCUGGAGUUUUCUUAUCCAGUUGAGGCCGCCUUCGCUGUACUCACUCUCUGCCUCCCACCCCAUCUUCUGCCACCCGACCUCCAUCUUUGAUGGUUAGCGCCUUCAGCCCUCAACAGCUUCGCACAACCAACCCCUAGAAGCCGUGGAGUCAGACCGGCCAGGGUGGGACCUAGGUUUUAACUCGGGUUCUGGCUACACACGCUGCGCCUCCAUACAGUUUGUCCCAGGUUUGGCAGCAGGCCGGCUACCUUCAGGAAUUCUUUGCUUUGGCUUCUGUCUGUUCCUGUCUGUUGGGCAAGUUUCUAGCUACCCCACUGAGAGAACCAUAGAACAAGGACCCUGGCAUGGCAUACAGA